RNAcentral lists this ribosomal RNA (807 nucleotides) under uncultured Bacillus sp. RNAcentral describes it as "bacterial SSU rRNA". It matches the Rfam family "Bacterial small subunit ribosomal RNA", at positions 554 to 1359 of the family's 1533-position model. The record is from RNAcentral. Lineage: Bacteria; Bacillati; Bacillota; Bacilli; Caryophanales; Bacillaceae.
UUGGGCGUAAAGCGCGCGCAGGCGGUUCCUUAAGUCUGAUGUGAAAGCCCCCGGCUCAACCGGGGAGGGUCAUUGGAAACUGGGGAACUUGAGUGCAGAAGAGAAGAGUGGAAUUCCACGUGUAGCGGUGAAAUGCGUAGAGAUGUGGAGGAACACCAGUGGCGAAGGCGACUCUUUGGUCUGUAACUGACGCUGAGGCGCGAAAGCGUGGGGAGCAAACAGGAUUAGAUACCCUGGUAGUCCACGCCGUAAACGAUGAGUGCUAAGUGUUAGAGGGUUUCCGCCCUUUAGUGCUGCAGCAAACGCAUUAAGCACUCCGCCUGGGGAGUACGGCCGCCAGGCUGAAACUCAAAGGAAUUGACGGGGGCCCGCACAAGCGGUGGAGCAUGUGGUUUAGUUCGAAGCAACGCGAAGAACCUUACCAGGUCUUGACAUCUCCUGACGACCCUAGAGAUAGGGCGUACCCCUUCGGGGGACAGGAUGACAGGUGGUGCAUGGUUGUCGUCAGCUCGUGUCGUGAGAUGUUGGGUUAAGUCCCGCAACGAGCGCAACCCUUGAUCUUAGUUGCCAGCAUUCAGUUGGGCACUCUAAGGUGACUGCCGGUGACAAACCGGAGGAAGGUGGGGAUGACGUCAAAUCAUCAUGCCCCUUAUGACCUGGGCUACACACGUGCUACAAUGGAUGGUACAAAGGGCUGCGAGACCGCGAGGUUAAGCGAAUCCCAUAAAACCAUUCUCAGUUCGGAUUGCAGGCUGCAACUCGCCUGCAUGAAGCCGGAAUCGCUAGUAAUCGCGGAUCAGCAUGCCG